Molecule: ribosomal RNA, 507 nt
Filed under: uncultured bacterium
Lineage: Bacteria
Description: bacterial SSU rRNA
Rfam family: Bacterial small subunit ribosomal RNA
Source: RNAcentral
GAUGAACGCUAGCGGCAGGCUUAACACAUGCAAGUCGAGGGGCAGCGCGAUGUAGCAAUACAUUGGCGGCGACCGGCGCACGGGUGCGUAACACGUAUGGAACUUACCCUUUACUGGGAGAUAGCCCGGAGAAAUCCGGAUUAAUAUCCCAUAAUAAACGAAGUGGCAUCACUUUGUUUGAAAGCUCCGGCGGUAAAGGAUGGCCAUGCGCACGAUUAGCUAGUAGGUGAGGUAACGGCUCACCUAGGCUACGAUCGUUAGGGGGCCUGAGAGGGUUAUCCCCCACACUGGUACUGAGACACGGACCAGACUCCUACGGGAGGCAGCAGUGAGGAAUAUUGCGCAAUGGAGGCAACUCUGACGCAGCCAUGCCGCGUGCAGGAAGAAGGCGCUACGCGUUGUAAACUGCUUUUAACCGGGAAGAAACCCUCCGACGUGUCGGAGGUUGACGGUACCGGAGGAAUAAGCACCGGCUAACUUCGUGCCAGCAGCCGCGGUAAAGUAUCG